GACGAACGCUGGCGGCGUGCCUAAUACAUGCAAGUCGAACGCAGGGGGGACGGGGGAGGAACACGUGGGUAACCGCCCAUCAGAGGGGAUAACACUUGGAAACAGGUGCUAAACCGAUACUGAUGGAUGGACCCGAGGUGCAUUAGCUAGUUGGUGAGGUAACGGCUCACCAAGGCCACGAUGCAUAGCCGGCCUGAGAGGGUGAUGGGCCACACGGGGACUGGGACACGGCCCAGACUCCUACGUGAGGCAGCAGUAGGGAAUUUGCGGCAAUGGACGAAAGUCUGACCGAGAAACGCCGCGUGAGGGAAGAAGGUUUUCGGAUCGUAAAUCUCUGUUGUUAGAGAAGCGGUAUCUAACCAGAAAGCCACGGCUAACUACGUGCCAGCAGCCGCGGUAAUUC
RNAcentral lists this ribosomal RNA (403 nucleotides) under uncultured bacterium. RNAcentral's name for it is "partial 16S ribosomal RNA". It matches the Rfam family "Bacterial small subunit ribosomal RNA", at positions 28 to 526 of the family's 1533-position model. The record is from RNAcentral.